UUUGCCUUGCUCUCUUCCUCAUGCAGACAUAGUUUAUCCAUCGUUCAAGGUUGAAAUCCAGUCUUUGUAAAGGCAAAAAAUCUCAGUUCAGUCCGUGGCUUCAGUCUAAAGACUAGACUAGAUGAAACUAGGAAGAAUUCAGAGAGCAAAUUUCUCCACCAAGGAUCAUGGGGGCGCGUUGUGUUUGGACCCAGGCCCUGGAGACAGAUCUGAUUCAACACUGGGAAGAAUAUCCAUGCCUUUACGAUGUGUCGUCUCCAAGUUUGGUGACAUCACCGCGUUAUCUGGGGCUCUGUCGGCGAGGGCUCAGUGGAGAAAUUUUGUGGUGUGCACACACAGGUCGUAACGCAGUUGGCGAGACUCCCGAUGACAGAAACACACGUCGCCAGCACUUCAGGGAAAAUACUCUCCUGUUCCAGCUUGGAUGUAGAAGAAGCUGAGUAAGAGCCUGAUCCCAUCCAACACCUUUGGGAAGACGUGGACCCUGAGCCAGGCCUUAUCACCCAAAAUCAAUGUUGGACCUCACUAAUGCUGGUGGAAAGCCUGAAACCAGAAGAGAGGAGGUUGUUUUAAGCAGCAGAUCCACGGACGGUUUUGGAAUGAGUUGUUCAAUAAUAGCCGCAUAUUUCUGCAAAAAUUAUUGUAACAUGUAUGCUCCAUUUAUUUUCACUAGUUAUGGAGUUAUUUCUAAUGUUGUUUUAGCCUUUAUUCGUAUGUAUAUUUUUCUACUUACCUGCCUCUCUGAUCUGUUUCCCAUGCUGCAGCAUAACUUAAUUUCCCACCUGGGGAUCCAUCUAGUGUUAUCUUAUCUUGUGUUUUACUGUGCUAUGAAAAUGAACUCAUAAAAAUUUGCUUGAGAUGCAAGAAAUGAUCCGUCACAAAGAAUAUUUUCACUCUUGUUUUUGUCACACUGAUGUAUUAUAACUGAGUCAGAUCAAGAAAGUGAAAGUUAAGUGUGUGUCACCUUUGGUCUCUAUUGGUCUUGGUCUUUUUAUUUACACUGGUGAUGGAGUUUUUGUCUAUUUCAUAUAAUGUAUUAACCCUUAUUUGUAUGUAUAUUUUUCCUCUAAUCUGCUUCUCUGAUCUGUUUCUCAUGCUG
Long non-coding RNA from Epinephelus moara (kelp grouper), 1099 nucleotides. RefSeq lists it as uncharacterized. The record is from RefSeq and is a predicted model, not a curated record. Lineage: Eukaryota; Metazoa; Chordata; Actinopteri; Perciformes; Serranidae. The transcript has 3 exons.